GACGAACGCUGGCGGCGUGCUUAACACAUGCAAGUCGAGCGGUAAGGCCCUUUCGGGGGUACACGAGCGGCGAACGGGUGAGUAACACGUGGGUGACCUGCCCUCAGCUCUGGGAUAAGCCUGGGAAACCGGGUCUAAUACCGGAUAUGACUCCAUGACGCAUGUUGUGGGGUGGAAAGCCUUGUGCGGCUGAGGAUGGGCCCGCGGCCUAUCAGCUUGUUGGUGGGGUGAUGGCCUACCAAGGCGACGACGGGUAGCCGGCCUGAGAGGGCGACCGGCCACACUGGGACUCAGACACGGCCCAGACUCCUACGGGAGGCAGCAGUGGGGAAUCUUGCGCAAUGGGCGAAAGCCUGACGCAGCGACGCCGCGUGAGGGAUGACGGCCUGU
This 390-nucleotide ribosomal RNA is filed under the name uncultured bacterium. RNAcentral describes it as "bacterial SSU rRNA". It matches the Rfam family "Bacterial small subunit ribosomal RNA", at positions 28 to 419 of the family's 1533-position model. The record is from RNAcentral.